Vigna angularis (adzuki bean) is the source of this 1801-nucleotide RNA transcript. RefSeq lists it as uncharacterized. The record is from RefSeq and is a predicted model, not a curated record. NCBI's taxonomy places the organism in Eukaryota, Viridiplantae, Streptophyta, Magnoliopsida, Fabales, Fabaceae. The transcript is spliced from 3 exons.
AUAUCCCAAUCUGAUUUUCACUUUUUCCCCCUAAUUUCUCUUCCCUCUCUUCCUCGCUUUCGUUCCCCGUAAUACACCACUACCAUUCUUCCUCUCUUCUUCACUCUACAUCAUCCGCUGUUCACUCAACCAUUCACUCAACCAUUCACUCUCCAUCAGUCGUUCAUUCGCUGCCUUACGAGAGCGUUUCUCUCGUCUCCAUUAUCGAAAGGCUCUCGUUGCCUCUCCAUCAUCGAAGGCUCUUGCUGCCUCUCCAUCAUCGAAGGCUCUUGCUGCCUCUCCAUCAUCGAAGGCUCUUGCUGCCUCUCCAUCAUCGAAGGCUCUUGCUGCCUCUCCAUCAUCUCGUUGAACCACAGUUCAAGCAGUAGGCUUUGAGAUGAUUGAUGCAAUUGCUGAGUCGUAGGGGAUUCCUAUGAACACUGCCCAUUCCAAAGCCAUUUUCGGAAAAGGGAUAGGAAAAUCUCGAAAUUGACAAUGACUGCUAAAGGAAUACCAGUAUUUUCGGCAGUUUAAGCUCUGACAGAGUGGAUGGUGUUUAGCUCCCUUAGAUUCUUGGGAGGCUUUGCAGCUGCCCUGAUUGAUGAUCCUCUGUGGGUCAUGAACACUGUCCCUAUUGAGGCCGAGUUCAACACCCUCGGUGUCAUAUAUGAACGUGGAUUGAUUGGAACCUACCAAAACUGGUAUGCCUUUCUUCCAUAAUAGUAAAUUAGUAGAGGGACUCAUUCUAGGAAAAGUAGAACAUAGUUGGGGUAGAAAGUAGCUUUCUCAUUGACUAAUUAGAUUAGAAGCAUAUCUCACUUUAGCUUAAUUUCUGUUCAUCACUGCUAAAUGCUUAAACACAACUCAAGUGGUACCAACUUUUGUCCUUUACCAUAGACAGGGCACUGUUAUACAGAUACACUUGUUUAGCUCCCUUAGUUUCUUCUCAUUUGAAUAUUGGGUGUUUAGAAGAGCUUAUACUGAGCAAGUGGCACCAAAAAGAAUUAAUGUUAUUUACAAAUCCUUGGUGAUAGAAUGUAUAUUAUUCCGUGUGUAGAAAGUGAAGAAUAUCAUCAUAUAUAUGUAUACUCGUGUUGAUUAUAGAUGUGAGGAUAAGGAAAUAAGGGAAAUAAAAGCGCGUCCACAAGAUUCUGCAGAUAAUAUAUGCCAAACAAACCCUUCUGGGACUUUCUUUCUGUCCUCAAAGCUGAUAUUAAUUUCUGCUUUUUUUGUAAGAUCCAUUCACGAGGUGUUGCGUCAAAGAAUUCAUUAGAUGCCAUCGUGUUUCUUAACAUUAAAUUCUAUGGAAGCACUUUUAUUUAUAACAAACACCAAACUUCAUUGAUAAUUCAUAUAUGUAUAUAUCAUAUGGGUUCUAUUAAAGCAAGUCAUUGUAGUUUGAAACACUUGGAGCACAGGUAGACUAAAACUUGUCACUUUCUUUUAUUCCCCUUUCAACCCAUUUCCUGUCCCGAAAAUAUAUAUGCAAGUUUUAUAUGCUUUCUUAUUGAAUCUGUAUUUAAUCUUAUAUAUAAAGUUGCUUUGACUUCAUGUUUGAAUCCUGUUAUUGAAUUCUUUGAAAAAAGACAUUGAUGAUUUAUGGUCUCAACGUUUUGAGGACAUAAAUUUUUCUUAAGAAAUUUUCUUUUGUUGUAACUUAGUGAUUUUAAGGAAUUGGAUUUAGUUGGUCAAUUUCUUAUGAAUUUCACCACUUUAAUGCAUUACACAUUUUUGCUCAUGCAUUACAGAACCUAUCAAAACAUAACCAUUAAUUAAGAUAUUUGUAAGUGUCAUGGUUUGGAAUACUCAUUAAUCUACUCAU